UCAGGACCGAACGCUGGCGGCGUGCCUAAUACAUGCAAGUCGAGCGGAACCAUUGGAGCUUGCUCCUUUGGUUUAGCGGCGGACGGGUGAGUAACACGUGGGCAACCUGCCCUGCAGAUCGGGAUAACUCCGGGAAACCGGUGCUAAUACCGAAUAGUUUGCGGCCUCUCAUGAGGCUGUACGGAAAGACGGUUUCGGCUGUCACUGCAGGAUGGGCCCGCGGCGCAUUAGCUAGUUGGUGGGGUAAUGGCCUACCAAGGCGACGAUGCGUAGCCGACCUGAGAGGGUGAUCGGCCACACUGGGACUGAGACACGGCCCAGACUCCUACGGGAGGCAGCAGUAGGGAAUCUUCCGCAAUGGACGAAAGUCUGACGGAGCAACGCCGCGUGAGUGAAGAAGGUUUUCGGAUCGUAAAACUCUGUUGUGAGGGAAGAACAAGUACCAA
Molecule: ribosomal RNA, 446 nt
Filed under: Planococcus maritimus
Lineage: Bacteria; Bacillati; Bacillota; Bacilli; Caryophanales; Caryophanaceae
Description: bacterial SSU rRNA
Rfam family: Bacterial small subunit ribosomal RNA
Source: RNAcentral